UGGGGAAUAUUGCACAAUGGGCGCAAGCCUGAUGCAGCCAUGCCGCGUGUAUGAAGAAGGCCUUCGGGUUGUAAAGUACUUUCAGCGGGGAGGAAGGCGAUGAGGUUAAUAACCUUGUCGAUUGACGUUACCCGCAGAAGAAGCACCGGCUAACUCCGUGCCAGCAGCCGCGGUAAUACGGAGGGUGCAAGCGUUAAUCGGAAUUACUGGGCGUAAAGCGCACGCAGGCGGUCUGUCAAGUCGGAUGUGAAAUCCCCGGGCUCAACCUGGGAACUGCAUUCGAAACUGGCAGGCUAGAGUCUUGUAGAGGGGGGUAGAAUUCCAGGUGUAGCGGUGAAAUGCGUAGAGAUCUGGAGGAAUACCGGUGGCGAAGGCGGCCCCCUGGACAAAGACUGACGCUCAGGUGCGAAAGCGUGGGGAGCAAACA
Molecule: ribosomal RNA, 427 nt
Filed under: uncultured bacterium
Lineage: Bacteria
Description: partial 16S ribosomal RNA
Rfam family: Bacterial small subunit ribosomal RNA
Source: RNAcentral